GUGAGACCUGUUGACAGAAAUUCAAUCUUGAUUAAGGGACGCAGGAAGGCAUCCAGUUCCCACCAUGCCUGGGGCUCUCUCAUUUAAACAGCUGCCUUUGGCUCUGGCCUGUUCCAUUUCCCACUAGGCCCUGUGGACUUUAAUUUUGGAAGAUUUCACAUCCUCAUAUUUAUUAUUUCUGGGGGAGGUAGUGUCGUGAAACCGAAAUUACCCAGUAGUUAGCUUUUCGUUUUCUUGAUGUACUUGUCCUAUCAGCCUUAAUUGAAGAGAGUCAGACUUCUCAAUGGAUAUGUAUUUAUUUAUUCUCUUUUUCCAGGGAGAGGGGAUGGUCUCCUGAGUUGGCCAUUCUAGACCAAAAUAUAGCUUAAAAGAAGCUUUUUUAAAGAACAGGUCAUGUUAGGAAAAUAAUAUUUUGUUUUUAAAAUUUCACCUAAAGAUUAAGUGUACUUAGGUUUGCACCCCUCGCCGUUUGUUCCCCACUAAUCAAAUGUAGUCUUAGACCUCAGAGGACAGCCUUUCUUCUGCUGCUUGAACCCUCUUCAUAGUCUCUUUACUCUAGAAUAUCACUGAGGUUUUCACUAACCACCA
Molecule: long non-coding RNA, 588 nt
Filed under: Homo sapiens (human)
Lineage: Eukaryota; Metazoa; Chordata; Mammalia; Primates; Hominidae
Description: non-protein coding lnc-MYLK2-1:1
Source: RNAcentral